RNAcentral lists this ribosomal RNA (497 nucleotides) under uncultured bacterium. RNAcentral's name for it is "partial 16S ribosomal RNA". It matches the Rfam family "Bacterial small subunit ribosomal RNA", at positions 28 to 507 of the family's 1533-position model. The record is from RNAcentral.
GAUGAACGCUGGCGGCGUGCCUAAUACAUGCAAGUCGAGCGAACAGACGAGGAGCUUGCUCCUCUGACGUUAGCGGCGGACGGGUUAGUAACACGUGGAUAACCUACCUAUAAGACUGGGAUAACUUCGGGAAACCGGAGCUAAUACCGGAUAAUAUAUUGAACCGCAUGGUUCAAUAGUGAAAGACGGUUUUGCUGUCACUUAUAGAUGGAUCCGCGCCGCAUUAGCUAGUUGGUAAGGUAACGGCUUACCAAGGCAACGAUGCGUAGCCGACCUGAGAGGGUGAUCGGCCACACUGGAACUGAGACACGGUCCAGACUCCUACGGGAGGCAGCAGUAGGGAAUCUUCCGCAAUGGGCGAAAGCUUGACGGAGCAACGCCGCGUGAGUGAUGAAGGUCUUCGGAUCGUAAAACUCUGUUAUUAGGGAAGAACAAAUGUGUAAGUAACUAUGCACGUCUUGACGGUACCUAAUCAGAAAGCCACGGCUAACUACGUG